AGUCGCACCUCUUUCUCCUCCUACUUUUCCUUCGGGUAGAGCCGGCUGCUGGGAUUUGCAGUUCUGUGGGCGGAGCAAAUUUGCGCGAAAGGUAUAAAAAGGUGCAAAGAUUUCAAACCAAAAUGAAACUAUCGCUGGACACGAUCAUAAUGGCCAAGGGAGAGAUGUGGAAAUUAGUUUCUUGGAAAGGAAGAUAGUGGAGAAAAGAAGACAGGAAAGCAAAAGAUUCUUAGGCAAAACUGAGUCUACUGUAAGUAUCUCAAUAAUGUUUUUAUUUACUGAAGCACAAAAGAUGACCAAGCAUAUUCCUACAUUUUGUUUGCUGACUCAUCCAGAAAAAGAGAUGGAAAAUAAAGAAAACAAAGAUAAAAUAUAUGAAAUCCUAGGCACUAAAUUGUGUAUGAUUCCAACUUGUCCCCAUUAUUCCAAAUGCUAAUAUUAAAUUUAAUAUUAUUCUUAAUAGAUUUAUAUAAUGCAAAAUGUAAAUGAAAAAAAUUAAGGGGCAGGGAGAAAAAAUAUUUCUGGAAAGUUUCUCUUGAAAUUAUGAUAUUUUUGCUAAUAUCAGAUUAAUUUAUUGUACAGAUAGUAUACUAUUAGUUUUAACUAACUUUGAAGAAAAGAAUUCAUAGCUUCAUUUCCCCUCCUAUGAAUUCCUGAAUAGUAGAGGAAAAUUAAAUUAGUAUGGACCCAAACUGGGUGUAUACUACAAACUGGGUAAUACUAUAAGCCAACAAAUGUGUGCUGAUUAGAAUGCUUUUUGCUAGCAUCACACAAUAACAGCAGAAUAUUUAUGUAUGCCUUAAGUGUACAUGAUACAGAUAGUAAGUGACUGAUUAACUAUCCUUUACAUAGUAAUAUUCAAAGGUGAUAGAUAAUCAAUUAAUUUGAAUAGCAUAUAAGUACUAGUAAAGAAUGAGUAUCACUUUAAGAUCGUUUCUCUCAGUUGAAACUGAAUACUGCUGGUAUAUUUUUAUGAUAAACAAUUGUAUUCUAUCUCAAGGAGACCUUAUAAAUAAUUACAUUAUGAUGGGGGAGAAAUUUCUGUCCUCCACCUGGAUUUUCUCUCUAAUCCAUUUUUCUUUUUCUGGUAUUCUUGCCCCUUCCCCAAUUUUUCCCUCUCCCAAUCAUGCUUUAUUGAUUCUUUUGUGGUACUGAAAGCUGCAGUAAGCUAUAUAUACUCAGAUUGAACUUCCCUUUGUCAGUCAAGCUGUUUUCAUGUUAUAUCCCGCAAGACUAAGCUAUGGCAUCAGCAACUGUGAAAUGUACCGCCAUUGGGUAUUUAAAGCAAAACAGAGCAAUUACAGUGUGGGUAUAUUCAAAUUAAAAAAAUGACACUGUGCAUAGAGCCUGAUAUUGAUUUUUCAAAUUUUUGCCUUGCUCCUGUGUAACUUCUUGCAGUGGAGUGGAAAGGUGAUUUUUUUUGGAUGGAAGCUUCUCCUUUCCUGCUUCUGAAUAAUUGCUUCACAUUUGCAUCCAGAGGGACUUGGCUGGAGGCAGAAUGACAACCUGAAAUGUUCUUAUAGAUUUCAAUUUCUUUAUCAUUGUGCUUAAGUGUUAAAUCUAGGAUUUUCUGCAGGCCAGUUGAACGCUAACAGGUUCCAAAUGAUGGAAGCAGAUUUUCCAUUUAUGCUAGGCAGAGAAUCAAGAUGAUGAUAGGGAUUUGCAAAUGACAAAGGAAAACAGAAGAUUUGAACAAAGGAUUGUACUAUUAAAGUAGCAAUGCCAAGGCAGACUUGGUAAAUAUCCUUGAUGAAAAUAAGUCAGCCAUGGGAAAAUACUGUUUCUCUUUUGCAUUUGUUAGGGGACCUGUCUGUUUUUCUCCAGGAAUAGAAACCGAUAGAGUAAUAUCUUUGAAAAAUGGAAGGCUGAUAAUUAUUUGCUAUUCCUUCAUCAUAGCAAUCUGAGCGAACCUUAGAUGUGAAUGGGAAGGUUCUAGAAAAGUUUAAAAUUUUCUACUCAGCAACAGGCUCAUUGAGCAUGUGCGGGAAAACCUGAGUACGUGCCUGGAACUAGGUAUGG
This is a long non-coding RNA of Crotalus tigris (Tiger rattlesnake), 2019 nucleotides long. RefSeq lists it as uncharacterized. The record is from RefSeq and is a predicted model, not a curated record. The transcript is spliced from 3 exons. NCBI's taxonomy places the organism in Eukaryota, Metazoa, Chordata, Lepidosauria, Squamata, Viperidae.